GGAAAAGCUUCCAAAAACCCUGAGUGAUUCGAUCGGGUGGCUCUCCCCUUUGAUCUGAGACCAAACGCUGCCACUUUCUUAACCGUUAUGUGCUUUUACAGCUCAGUCUGUUCCUGGAAGAUGGCACAGAAGCAAAGGCCAAACCCAUAAAUCCCAGAUUCAAGUGACUGGCCUUUUAGAAAAAAUGGUUAAACCCUGCUGGAAGCCUCAUGAUGAUGGCGAUUCAAACGGACGAGUUGAUGGGUUGUUGUGGUCUAAGGAUCUGGGGCACCAUGUUUAUG
Molecule: unclassified non-coding RNA, 281 nt
Filed under: Hevea brasiliensis (rubber tree)
Lineage: Eukaryota; Viridiplantae; Streptophyta; Magnoliopsida; Malpighiales; Euphorbiaceae
Source: RNAcentral